GCUUAUGGCCACACCGCCUGGUUCACGUCCGAUCUCGUUUGAUCUCGGAAGCUAAAAUAGGUUGGGCCUGGUUAGUACUUGCAUGGGAGACUGCCUGGGAAUACCAGGUGCUUUAAGCC
Molecule: ribosomal RNA, 119 nt
Organism: Scophthalmus maximus (turbot)
Lineage: Eukaryota; Metazoa; Chordata; Actinopteri; Pleuronectiformes; Scophthalmidae
Source: Ensembl